This is a long non-coding RNA of Columba livia (rock pigeon), 3853 nucleotides long. RefSeq lists it as uncharacterized. The transcript has 4 exons. NCBI's taxonomy places the organism in Eukaryota, Metazoa, Chordata, Aves, Columbiformes, Columbidae. The record is from RefSeq and is a predicted model, not a curated record.
CCUUCCAACGGGACACAAACCGCUCGUCAGCCCGACCAGCCCCAAACGGCUCCGCUGAACCGACUCGGGCACCGGCAAAGAGCUGCCGGGUGUAAAUUUAGACUUGGGGUCCGAAAUCACUGACACCCGCCUAUUGAAAUUAGGAAACGCAACGGCUUCUGGUUCCCCUGAGCGUCCUGCACCACUCGGCCCGAACUCUGCCCACCGACACUCCCGCCCCUCGAACACGAGCGAACCGCUCACUUGUUCCUAAAACGCUCAUAAUUUAAUGGUGCAGCUCCAAACCGCCCCGUUCUGCCCGAACCCCAAACCCUCCGGCUCCAGGAGCGAGUCGUGCAGGUUCAUUAAAGCCAAAUUAAAUAACUCCCUCGUGCCAAAGCCACGAAAACGGCAAGAUAAUCGAUCCAGGUCGCGUACUUUGACAAGCGGUAACAAGAGCACCCGAUUCAUCUGAAUUACUUUAUCUCCAGCGGAACAUACCACUCAUUAGCGAGGCCGCUAACGAAGCGACCGGACACUUUUAAAUAAGAACAUUUUAAGAAGCCUCCGAGGGGCCCAAUUUCCCAGCUCUGAGUCAAAUCUGACUGGUUUUAGGUUUUUCUAGCAGAAAACGCAGCUCCAACCAUCCCCGAGUUCCAGGUGCUCCGAGCUUCGCCAGAGGCCGCUCAGCUCGUCUGGAAAUGCUUGAAAAUAGACACCGAGGAAUCAAUGGAGCUGCGGGAGGAUGUGACCCCGAGUCCCUUCGCUGCUCUGAGGCCGCAGAGAAAACGGGAGAGUUAAGGAAUGAAAGGAGAAUUCUGCCCUUGGGUUUGGUUUGGAUCCGGUUGCGCCGUGUCAUGCUGGUGGAAACGGUUCAUGUUCCCGUGUCGGGGCUUGAAGAUCUGAGGUGAGGUUGGUGUUGAUGGACGUCCCGGGACAUGAGGGCAAUAACUAUAAAUGGUAAAGGCAGAUGGGUCGCAACCCUCGUCAGGAAUGGGUUAAACCUGCCCAAAGUCAAGUGUCCUUCCCCAAAACACCAUCCUCACGCUAAAAAAGAGGGUUGUGAACCCUGAGGACACGAGCAGCACAACUGAUUUCUCCAAAGGAUUUGAUAAGGAAACACCAGGGACCUUGAGGGACCUUCUUGGCUGGGGCAGGUUUGCAGAACCAGAGGGAAAUCCUCUUUGUGCUCAAGCAGCUUAUCCCGGCAGGUCUGGGAGCUCUCCGGGGCAGACCGGGCGGCUUGGGGCCGGGGCCGCAGCGUCACGCCAGAGACCAAACACCGAUUGUUAGUGAUGUAUUUAUUUUAUUGGCAGGAGUUCAUAUUUACAACAGAAUCGUAGGAAAUGGGAAGGGACCGAGUCAUCCCAAAGCUCCUUGGCGCUCGCUCGACGUUUCUGCCGCCGCCGUGGGCUGGAAACCGGGGCCGUGAAGUCACGGUGGCGCUGAAAGCGGAGGCGUCGCUGCCAACGCGGUGACCGGUCUCUGUUCCGUUCUCUGCUCCCGGCUCCGUAACGAGGGGAAAAGGCCCCGCUUGUUGGGAAACGGGAAGAAAAGGACUCACCUCGUCGGGAUACAUGGUGGGUAUUAACGUGGUGUUGUCCGAGUAGUAUUCUACCGUUGCGUACAAGUAAUCACCUGCAAUUAGAGCGUUGUCCUGAUGAGUCUGCGUGAGUAUCGAGUAUAACGAGGCAUCAGACCCACUCAAGCUAUUCUAUUAAUAUCAAUUAAGACCCAGCGUUGAUUCUAGAGGUUGGAAACUGCAUCGUGGAGCGGGGCCGCGUGUGCAGCGAUGGCAGCGGCUGCGCGAGCGCUUUGUUGGGCAGAAAUCAAAGCGCGUCUCUGCCCAGGAACGUCUCCCAGGGCUGUUCUGCCCUUCCUGCAUCUCAAUCAUUAUUUUUACCUCGACAAGAGGUGAUUUCAGACAAUCGCAAGAACCCUGGGGGCAGAAAAACACCUUUUAAUGCUGCUUUUAACCUUGCUCAUGUUUUACACCACCCUGCUCCGAGCAUCGCUGAAUUUAUAGUGACCAAACCUAGUCAGUAUUAGGGAUAUAUUUCCUUAGAUGGUGACAUUAUUACCGGGGGACGUUUCCCCUCUGAAUAGCCAACAUAACUCAGAUUAAUCCUAAUAACUCGGUUAAUUAACCGCUGCUUGGCCUGGGCGCCCUGGAACCAGCCGCACGGAGCCAGUUCAUCAAACCCUCGUCAUUUAUCCUGGUUUAAUUGUACAGGUGUUCCUGCAAAGCUCCGAUGUCGGGAGGCCCUGGGCAGCCCCUUCAUCUCCUUCGUUCUCCUCCGAGCUGAAAUCUCAGCGGCUUUCGGCGCCUCCGCAUCGCUCGUGAUGGGCAAAGCACCAUUUCUGGCCCCGCGUAUUCCACGGGACCCGCGGAAAACGGCGGAAAGGCCAGCGGUGGAUCCAGGUACCGGCUCUCAAGCUUUUCACCAUUUCUCCGCGUCCCAGCUCGAGAUCUCAGCACCAACCGAACGUGGGAUCCGCCCCCGUCGCCCCCCUGAGCUUUUGGGGCAGUUCAGCCCAAACCUGGGAUCGCUCGGCCCUUCCCACGCCCCGGCGCCCCCGGCUCCUCCUCCGCGGCUUCGCUGGGAACGUUCCUCCCCGUUUAUUUCCACUGGAGCCGCGCUGAGAAAAAUACCGCGGGGAAGCAGCUGGACACUCCGACCCCUCCGAACCCCCUUCGGCCCCAAUUAACUGCAGGGUAAUUAGGCAGCUCCGGGGCUUUCCUCCAGGAGUUACCCCAAGCGCCCACCUCGUACUUCAGGAAAUCCUGUUUACUUUAAUCUGGUCUAUUUAUCCCUUGCCUGGGUCUCUCUUAAUCACUCCCAGCUGCAUAGCGGGAAUUAUUGUGCGUGCGAGAUGGGAAACGUUAUUAUCAGAUUGCAUUGUCUGAGCACAGCCCGGAUCCUCCGAACACAGCCCGGAUCCUCCAAACACAGCCCGGAUCCGGCAAAAAUAGGCUGGAUCCUCCAAAACCACACUUGAGAACGCAAACCCACACUUCAGCCCCCAAACACGCUCCAUGCUCUUGGCUAUAUUCUCCAGAAACACACUUUAUUCCCCAGCCUGUGUUCUCCAAACACACUCUAUAUUCUCUCUAUAUUCUCCCCAAACACCCUGUAUUCCCCAGCCUAUAUUCUCCAAACACACUCUAUAUUCUCUCUAUAUUCUCCCCAAACACCCUCUAUUCCCCAGCCUAUAUUCUCCAAACACACUCUAUAUUCUCUCUAUAUUCUCCCCAAACACCCUCUAUUCCCCAGCCUAUAUUCUCUCUAUAUUCUCCCCGAACACCCUCUGUUCCCCAGCCUAUAUUCUCCAAGCACAGCCUCUAUUCUCUCUAUAUUCCCCCAAAACGCACUUUCCCGUCACUUUUCCCAAUUGUGUCACAUUUUCCUUUUGCUCCCCAGUGUCCCAGCGAGCACCCCGAGAUUCGCAGGCUCCGGCGCCCGCCCCGCGCAGCAUCGCAGCAGAAACGGCCCCGGACAGGCAAUUAAAUGGAAUUACGAGCCGGGAAAAUACAAAGAACCAAAUCAGAGGAACAUAUUUACCCGGUGAAACCCGCAGGAGCAAGAGGAGCGCGAUGAAGAAGCUCGUCAUGGUGCGGCCGGUGCGGCGCCGGGAGCGCCGUGGGGCAGGAAGUGACUGCUGGGGGGGCGCGCGCCGCGGCUCGCCGCGCCGGGGGCUGCUGCGGACGGACCGACGGACGCGGCGGCUGUGGCGCCGGGGGGAGCGCUCGCCGUGCGGGGAUUGCCUUCCCGACCGCUUCGAUGCGAACCUCGGGAAGUUCGUUCCCUGGGGAGGGUUCAGUCCCGCGAAUGGUUUGGAUUGUAAGGGAGUAAAUGCGAGUUGUUAACAGCGA